GACGAACGCUGGCGGCGUGCUUAACACAUGCAAGUCGAGCGAACAGGCCUCUUUCUUGCGGUACUCACGUGGCGAACGGGUGAGUAACUCGUAAGUAACCUACCCUUGUCUUUGAGAUGACUUCAGGCAACUAGGGCGAGUUACUACUAGGAGAUCCUGCGGAAUGGUGGGGGUUGUAAAGUUUCGGCGGUUGGUUGUGGACUCGAGGCGUAUCCGCUUGUUGGUGGGGUGGUGGCUUACCAAGGGUUUGACGGGUAGCCGGCCUGAGAGGGUGACCGGCCACAUUGGGACUGAGAUACGGCCCAGACUCCUACGCGAGGCAGCAGUGGGGAAUAUUGAACGAUGGGUGGAAGCCUGAUGCAGAAACGCCGUGGGCGGUAUGACGGCCUUCGGGUUGUAAACCGAUUUUGUUCAUGACGAAGCUCUGUGUGACGGUAGUGGGUAAAGAAGCACCGGCUAACUACGUG
RNAcentral lists this ribosomal RNA (467 nucleotides) under uncultured bacterium. RNAcentral's name for it is "partial 16S ribosomal RNA". It matches the Rfam family "Bacterial small subunit ribosomal RNA", at positions 28 to 507 of the family's 1533-position model. The record is from RNAcentral.